AUAACAGUUAGAAAUGGCUGCUAAUACCGCAUAAGACCACAGUACUGCAUGGUACAGUGGUAAAAACUCCGGUGGUAUGAGAUGGACCCGCGUCUGAUUAGGUAGUUGGUGAGGUAACGGCCCACCAAGCCGACGAUCAGUAGCCGACCUGAGAGGGUGGCCGGCCACAUUGGGGCUGAGACACGGCCCAGACUCCUACGGGAGGCAGCAGUGGGGAAUAUUGCACAAUGGGCGAAAGCCUGAUGCAGCGACGCCGCGUGAAGGAUGAAGUAUUUCGGUAUGUAAACUUCUAUCAGCAGGGAAGAAAAUGACGGUACCUGACUAAGAAGCCCCGGCUAACUACGUGCCAGCAGCCGCGGUAAUACGUAGGGGGCAAGCGUUAUCCGGAUUUACUGGGUGUAAAGGGAGCGUAGACGGCUGUGCAAGUCUGAAGUGAAAGGCAUGGGCUCAACCUGUGGACUGCUUUGGAAACUGUGCAGCUAGAGUGUCGGAGAGGUAAGUGGAAUUCCUAGUGUAGCGGUGAAAUGCGUAGAUAUUAGGAGGAACACCAGUGGCGAAGGCGGCUUACUGGACGAUGACUGACGUUGAGGCUCGAAAGCGUGGGGAGCAAACAGGAUUAGAUACCCUGGUAGUCCACGCCGU
This 642-nucleotide ribosomal RNA is filed under the name uncultured bacterium. RNAcentral describes it as "bacterial SSU rRNA". It matches the Rfam family "Bacterial small subunit ribosomal RNA", at positions 143 to 803 of the family's 1533-position model. The record is from RNAcentral.